AUGGUUUUAUUGAAGAUAACUUAAUAUUUUCAUAUUGUUUAUUUGUUUUUCAGAUUCACACCAAGAAGAGGAAUCGGUUAGAGCAUCAACGUUUAAAUGAUCUUGUCUACAUCCAGUAUAAUCGCCGUCUUCAAGUAAGGUUCCAAGAAAGAAAGGAACAAAGCAGAAAUUAUGAUCCACUGGAGCUUGAUGAGCUAGAUUGGAGUAGUGAGUGGAUGACUGGGGCUUCAGAUGAUGAAUUAGU
Long non-coding RNA from Telopea speciosissima, 244 nucleotides. RefSeq lists it as uncharacterized. NCBI's taxonomy places the organism in Eukaryota, Viridiplantae, Streptophyta, Magnoliopsida, Proteales, Proteaceae. The record is from RefSeq and is a predicted model, not a curated record. The transcript is spliced from 3 exons.